GAUGAACGCUGGCGGCGUGCCUAAUACAUGCAAGUCGAGCGAACAGGCGAGGAGCUUGCUCCUCUGACGUUAGCGGCGGACGGGUGAGUAACACGUGGAUAACCUACCUAUAAGACUGGGAUAACUUCGGGAAACCGGAGCUAAUACCGGAUAAUAUAUUGAAUCGCAUGGUUCAAUAGUGAAAGACGGUUUUGCUGUCACUUAUAGAUGGAUCCGCGCCGCAUUAGCUAGUUGGUAAGGUAACGGCUUACCAAGGCAACGAUGCGUAGCCGACCUGAGAGGGUGAUCGGCCACACUGGAACUGAGACACGGUCCAGACUCCUACGGGAGGCAGCAGUAGGGAAUCUUCCGCAAUGGGCGAAAGCCUGACGGAGCAACGCCGCGUGAGUGAUGAAGGUCUUCGGAUCGUAAAACUCUGUUAUUAGGGAAGAACAAAUGUGUAAGUAACUAUGCACGUCUUGACGGUACCUAAUCAGAAAGCCACGGCUAACUACGUG
RNAcentral lists this ribosomal RNA (497 nucleotides) under uncultured bacterium. Its description in RNAcentral is "partial 16S ribosomal RNA". It matches the Rfam family "Bacterial small subunit ribosomal RNA", at positions 28 to 507 of the family's 1533-position model. The record is from RNAcentral.